UACGUAGGGUGCGAGCGUUGCCCGGAUUUACUGGGCGUAAAGAGCGCGCAGGCGGUCGUUCAAGUCGCGUGUGAAAGCCCCCGGCUCAACUGGGGAGGGUCACGCGAUACUGAUCGACUCGAAGGCAGGAGAGGGUAGUGGAAUUCCCGGUGUAGUGGUGAAAUGCGUAGAUAUCGGGAGGAACACCAGUGGCGAAGGCGACUACCUGGCCUGUUCUUGACGCUGAGGCGCGAAAGCUAGGGGAGCAAACGGG
RNAcentral lists this ribosomal RNA (253 nucleotides) under uncultured bacterium. RNAcentral's name for it is "partial 16S ribosomal RNA". It matches the Rfam family "Bacterial small subunit ribosomal RNA", at positions 524 to 776 of the family's 1533-position model. The record is from RNAcentral.